RNAcentral lists this ribosomal RNA (252 nucleotides) under uncultured bacterium. RNAcentral's name for it is "partial 16S ribosomal RNA". It matches the Rfam family "Bacterial small subunit ribosomal RNA", at positions 524 to 775 of the family's 1533-position model. The record is from RNAcentral.
UACGUAGGUGGCAAGCGUUGUCCGGAUUUAUUGGGCGUAAAGCGAACGCAGGCGGAAGAAUAAGUCAAAUGUGAAAGCCCUCGGCUUAACCGGGGAAUUGCAUCGGAAACUGUUUUUCUUGAGUGCAGAAGAGGAGAGUGGAACUCCAUGUGUAGCGGUGAAAUGCGUAGAUAUAUGGAAGAACACCAGUGGCGAAGGCGGCUCUCUGGUCCGUAACUGACGCUGAGGUUCGAAAGCAUGGGUAGCGAACAG